This 67-nucleotide transfer RNA is filed under the name Fukomys damarensis (Damara mole-rat). It matches the Rfam family "tRNA". From Rfam's summary of the family: Transfer RNA (tRNA) molecules are approximately 80 nucleotides in length. Their secondary structure includes four short double-helical elements and three loops (D, anti-codon, and T loops). The record is from Rfam by way of RNAcentral. Lineage: Eukaryota; Metazoa; Chordata; Mammalia; Rodentia; Bathyergidae.
GCUGUAGCUCAAUGGUAGAGUGCUUGCCUAGCAUGCAGGAGGCACUGGGUUCAAUCCCUAGCAAGCA